Molecule: long non-coding RNA, 388 nt
Organism: Haliotis rubra (blacklip abalone)
Lineage: Eukaryota; Metazoa; Mollusca; Gastropoda; Lepetellida; Haliotidae
Exons: 4
Source: RefSeq, a predicted model, not a curated record
UAUUUCAAUCUCGAUAUCAAACACCACAUACCCUCAAUCUCUGUGAGGUCGAGAUAUAUGUCUGCAGCCCAGGAUUGUUUGGUGAAACCUGUAAUAGAUUUUGUCACUGCGCUAAAGAGGAGUGUGACCAUGUAAGUGGUGUGUGUCCUGGAGACUGUAGACCGGGCUGGCAGGGCGACAGGUGUGAUACAGAAUGUGAUGCUGGUCACUACGGAGUCAACUGUGUGAACACAUGUACUAACAGGAAGUGUUUUGAUGUCAUAUCGUCAUGUGAUCGCCACAUCGGGUCAUGUGACAGGGGAUGUCUUCCUGGUUGGAGAGGUGUGGACUGUACACAAGAAUGUAGCAGCGGAACCUAUGGUCAGUACUGCAGCAUGGCGUGUUCAGA